GACGAACGCUGGCGGCGUGCUUAACACAUGCAAGUCGAACGAAGAGCGGUGGAAGCUUGCUUCUAUCAAUCUUAGUGGCGCACGGGUGAGUAACGCGUAAUCAACCUGCCCUUCAGAGGGGGACAACAGUUGGAAACGACUGCUAAUACCGCAUACGAUCUAACCUCGGCAUCGAGGAUGGAUGAAAGGUGGCCUCUAUUUAUAAGCUAUCACUGAAGGAGGGGAUUGCGUCUGAUUAGCUAGUUGGAGGGGUAACGGCCCACCAAGGCGAUGAUCAGUAGCCGGUCUGAGAGGAUGAACGGCCACAUUGGGACUGAGACACGGCCCAGACUCCUACGGGAGGCAGCAGUGGGGAAUCUUCCGCAAUGGACGAAAGUCUGACGGAGCAACGCCGCGUGAGUGAUGACGGCCUUCGGGUUGUAAAGCUCUGUUAAUCGGGACGAAAGGCCUUCUUGCGAAUAGUUAGAAGGAUUGACGGUACCGGAAUAGAAAGCCACGGCUAACUACGUG
This 510-nucleotide ribosomal RNA is filed under the name uncultured bacterium. RNAcentral's name for it is "partial 16S ribosomal RNA". It matches the Rfam family "Bacterial small subunit ribosomal RNA", at positions 28 to 507 of the family's 1533-position model. The record is from RNAcentral.